Molecule: ribosomal RNA, 990 nt
Filed under: Triticum aestivum (bread wheat)
Lineage: Eukaryota; Viridiplantae; Streptophyta; Magnoliopsida; Poales; Poaceae
Description: partial small subunit ribosomal RNA
Source: RNAcentral
AUGGUGCUGGAGACGCCUCCGAGCCAGUUGUGCGGUGGCUGCGCGCCGCCGCUGAGUGGUUGGCUCGACUGCUUCAAGGCUAGGGAGGGCACUGCCCGCGGCGAGUCUGUCCAUUCUUCUGCAUCGAGCCGGGAGAGGCAUGCCCCAUGGCAGCUUGUCCGGUCCCGUGGCCAUCGCCACCAGGCUGCUGCACCCCCUCCGCCUUCCCCGCCCAUCAGGCAGCGCACCGGCAUCUCAGACUGGCUGCUUAACCGGUGCUUUCACUGCCUCCUACCUCGACACCGAGCUCGCCACUGCAAGAACCCCAUAACCUGCCGCCGUUGUUUCCUCUCGGGUCACAGCGCUAGGGAGUGCACCAACAGGCCAGCUCCGCACCGCCGGCCAAGUUUCUACUCCGGGCGCUCCAGGCCCGCCGUUCGUGCCCCUGCCGGUCCCUCGCGGACGCCGCCUGCUCCCCCUGCUUGUGCCUCCACGACGCCUCCGCCUGGCCAUGCAAUGGCCUGGAACGGCGACCACAGGUCGCGUCCCGCCGUGGGGUCCGCAGUGCUCCACGCGACCCCUGCCACGCGACAAGAGGCGCUUGUGCUGGCCACCAGUGCUCUCCUUACGUGGUUCGACAGGGAGCUGAGAGCCACGAAGGAAGUGAUCACCGCCGCAUUCAACAAGCUCACCGGGGCGCUCCACGCCGAGCGAGAGCGCGUCUGCCACCCUGCCGCGACGCCUAGGGACGACCGGGACGAUGAUGAUGAUCGUCGCCAUCGCGAAGACCCUGGCCAUCAGGGACAGGACGACUCCAGGAGCAACAGGGGAGGGGCGACGGGGUGCGCCGUAGCCCAUCUCGAGCGCCAAAGGACGGUGCCCGCGACCUGGACCGUGGCCACGACCAAGGCGGCCGUGAUGUCUAUCGUCUCCGCGACGGGCGUGACAUGGUGCAACGGGACGCUGUGCCGCAGCUGCUGCUUCGCGGCUCUGGCUCAAACAGUGCUGUAG